GUAGUCGGAUUCGCAUCAAUCCACAUGUGUUGGGGUGGAUUGGAGUGGAACUUGAACUAAAUUCCACCCAAAUCUACUCCAACAAUUGAGGUAAAUCCGAUA
Molecule: microRNA precursor, 102 nt
Filed under: Sorghum bicolor (sorghum)
Lineage: Eukaryota; Viridiplantae; Streptophyta; Magnoliopsida; Poales; Poaceae
Description: MIR5565 microRNA precursor family
Rfam family: MIR5565 microRNA precursor family
Source: Rfam by way of RNAcentral